RNAcentral lists this ribosomal RNA (539 nucleotides) under uncultured bacterium. RNAcentral's name for it is "bacterial SSU rRNA". It matches the Rfam family "Bacterial small subunit ribosomal RNA", at positions 363 to 917 of the family's 1533-position model. The record is from RNAcentral.
UUUGCACAAUGGGCGAAAGCCUGNUGCAGCAACGCCGCGUGCGCGAAGAAGGUCUUCGGAUCGUAAAGCGCUUUUCGGGGAGAUGAGGAAGGACAGUAUCCCCGGAAUAAGGCUCGGCUAACUACGUGCCAGCAGCCGCGGUAAAACGUAGGAGCCAAGCGUUAUCCGAAUUCACUGGGCGUAAAGCGCGUGCAGGCGGUCUGGUAAGUUGGAUGUGAAAUCUCCUGGCUCAACUGGGAGAGGCCGUUCAAUACUGUCAGACUAGAGGGCGACAGAGGGAGGUAGAAUUCCGGGUGUAGUGGUGAAAUGCGUAGAUAUCCGGAGGAAUACCAGAGGCGAAGGCGACCUCCUGGGUCGCACCUGACGCUCAGACGCGAAAGCUAGGGGAGCGAACGGGAUUAGAAACCCCGGUAGUCCUAGCCGUAAACGAUGUAGACUGGGUGUUGGCGGGGUAAAAGCCGUCAGUGCCGAAGCAAACGCGAUAAGUCUACCGCCUGGGGACUACGGCCGCAAGGUUAAAACUCAAAAAAAUUGACGGA